Molecule: microRNA precursor, 205 nt
Filed under: Oryza sativa Indica Group (long-grained rice)
Lineage: Eukaryota; Viridiplantae; Streptophyta; Magnoliopsida; Poales; Poaceae
Description: MIR812 microRNA precursor family
Rfam family: MIR812 microRNA precursor family
Source: Rfam by way of RNAcentral
AAUGUUUGACGCCAUUGACUUUUUAGCACAUGUUUGACCAUUCGUCUUAUUCAAAAAAUUUAAGUAAUUAUUAAUUCUUUUCCUAUCAUUUGAUUCAUUGUUAAAUAUAUUUUUAUGUAGGCAUAUAAUUUUACAUAUUUCACAAAAGAUUUUGAAUAAGAUGAACGGUCAAACAUGUGCUAAAAAGUUAACGGUGUCAAAUAUU